CCGCCAUGGCCGUGGGAUUAGUUUGAUCCUGGCUCAGAAUGAACGCUGGCGGCGUGCCUAACACAUGCAAGUCGGAUGUGCCCGCAAGGGUGCAUGGCAGACGGGUGAGUAACGCGUGGGGAAUCUACCUCUUUGUGGGGAAUAACGCUCCGAAAGGAGUGGUAAUACCGCAUGAGACCAACGGCUGGAAUGCUGUUGGUGAAACCUGGGGACCGCAAGGCCUGGGGCAAGGAGAGGAUCCUGCGUCUGAUUAGCUAGUUGGCGGGGUAACGGCCCACCAAGGCGUCGAUCAGUAGCCGGCCUGAGAGGGUGAUCGGCCACACUGGAACUGAGACACGGUCCAGACUCCUACGGGAGGCAGCAGUGGGGAAUUUUGCGCAAUGGGCGAGAGCCUGACGCAGCAACGCCGCGUGGGUGAUGAAGGUCUUCGGAUCGUAAAACCCUGUCGUCAGGGACGAAGGUCACGAGUUUAAGAGAUGCGUAACUUGACGGUACCUGGAGAGGAAGCCCCGGCUAACUCUGUGCCAGCAGCCGCGGUAAUACAGAGGGGGCAAGCGUUAUUCGGAAUUAUUGGGCGUAAAGGGCGCGUAGGCGGUGUCUUAAGUGAGACGUGUAAUCCCCGAGCUUAACUUGGGAACUGCAUCUCAGACUGGGGCGCUAGAGUACUGGAGAGGGUGGUAGAAUUCCACGUGUAGCGGUGAAAUGCGUAGAGAUGUGGAGGAAUACCAGUGGCGAAGGCGGCCACCUGGACAGUAACUGACGCUGAGGCGCGAAAGUGUGGGGAGCAAACAGGAUUAGAUACCCUGGUAGUCC
This 813-nucleotide ribosomal RNA is filed under the name uncultured Fibrobacteres/Acidobacteria group bacterium. RNAcentral's name for it is "bacterial SSU rRNA". It matches the Rfam family "Bacterial small subunit ribosomal RNA", at positions 1 to 796 of the family's 1533-position model. The record is from RNAcentral. Lineage: Bacteria; Pseudomonadati.